This 253-nucleotide ribosomal RNA is filed under the name uncultured bacterium. RNAcentral describes it as "partial 16S ribosomal RNA". It matches the Rfam family "Bacterial small subunit ribosomal RNA", at positions 524 to 776 of the family's 1533-position model. The record is from RNAcentral.
UACGUAGGGGGCAAGCGUUGUCCGGAAUUAUUGGGCGUAAAGAGCGUGUAGGCGGCCAGAUAAGUCCGCUGUGAAAUCUCGAGGCUCAACUUCGAGCUGUCGGUGGAAACUAUCUGGCUAGAGUCCGGAAGAGGAGAAUGGAAUUCCUGGUGUAGCGGUGAAAUGCGCAGAUAUCAGGAAGAACACCCGUGGCGAAGGCGGUUCCCUGGGACGGUACUGACGCUGAGACGCGAAAGCGUGGGGAGCGAACAGG